Molecule: non-coding RNA, 49 nt
Organism: Schistosoma mansoni
Lineage: Eukaryota; Metazoa; Platyhelminthes; Trematoda; Strigeidida; Schistosomatidae
Source: Rfam
AUCCAACUGACGAGUCUCAAAAUCGAAUGAAACGCGCGUCAAACUGGAU